Molecule: ribosomal RNA, 2997 nt
Filed under: Haemophilus influenzae
Lineage: Bacteria; Pseudomonadati; Pseudomonadota; Gammaproteobacteria; Pasteurellales; Pasteurellaceae
Description: 23S ribosomal RNA
Rfam family: Bacterial large subunit ribosomal RNA
Source: RNAcentral
UUAAGUGACUAAGCGUACAAGGUGGAUGCCUUGGCAAUCAGAGGCGAAGAAGGACGUGCUAAUCUGCGAAAAGCUUGGAUGAGUCGAUAAGAGGCGUUUAAUCCAAGAUAUCCGAAUGGGGAAACCCAGUAGAUGAAGAAUCUACUAUCAACAAGUGAAUUCAUAGCUUGUUGAGGCAAACCGGGAGAACUGAAACAUCUAAGUACCCCGAGGAAAAGAAAUCAACCGAGAUUUCGUCAGUAGCGGCGAGCGAAAGCGAAAGAGCCAGUAAGUGAUAGCAGUAUAGUGAGGAGAAUGUGUUGGGAAGCACAAUCAAAGAGGGUGAUAAUCCCGUAUCUAAAAACCAUAUUGUGGUACUAAGCUAACGAGAAGUAGGGCGGGACACGUGAUAUCCUGUUUGAAGAAGGGGGGACCAUCCUCCAAGGCUAAAUACUCCUGAUUGACCGAUAGUGAACCAGUACUGUGAAGGAAAGGCGAAAAGAACCCCGGUGAGGGGAGUGAAAUAGAACCUGAAACCUUGUACGUACAAGCAGUGGGAGCCCCAUCACUUAAUCCGAUUGGAAGGUGAUGAAAAGCAACCGCAUUUAAACAAUGGUAAGAGGAGCGAAGCGAGUCAAACCACCCAAAAGAAGCAGUGGGAUUAAGUGAUGGGGUGACUGCGUACCUUUUGUAUAAUGGGUCAGCGACUUAUAUUUUGUAGCGAGGUUAACUGAAUAGGGGAGCCGAAGGGAAACCGAGUCUUAACUGGGCGAGUAGUUGCAAGGUAUAGACCCGAAACCCGGUGAUCUAGCCAUGGGCAGGUUGAAGGUUGGGUAACACUAACUGGAGGACCGAACCGACUAAUGUUGAAAAAUUAGCGGAUGACUUGUGGCUGGGGGUGAAAGGCCAAUCAAACCGGGAGAUAGCUGGUUCUCCCCGAAAUCUAUUUAGGUAGAGCCUUGAGGUGACACCUUUGGGGGUAGAGCACUGUUUCGGCUAGGGGGCCAUCCCGGCUUACCAACCCGAUGCAAACUACGAAUACCAAAGAGUGAUACUCAGGAGACACACGGCGGGUGCUAACGUCCGUCGUGGAGAGGGAAACAACCCAGACCGCCAGCUAAGGUCCCCAAGUCUAUAUUAAGUGGGAAACGAAGUGGGAAGGCUUAGACAGCUAGGAUGUUGGCUUAGAAGCAGCCAUCAUUUAAAGAAAGCGUAAUAGCUCACUAGUCGAGUCGGCCUGCGCGGAAGAUGUAACGGGGCUGAAAUAUAGCACCGAAGCUGCGGCAUCAGAAUUUAUUCUGUUGGGUAGGGGAGCGUUGUGUAAGCGGAAGAAGGUUCAUCGAGAGGUGGGCUGGACGUAUCACAAGUGCGAAUGCUGACAUAAGUAACGAUAAAACGGGUGAAAAACCCGUUCGCCGGAAGACCAAGGGUUCCUGUCCAACGUUAAUCGGGGCAGGGUGAGUCGGCUCCUAAGGCGAGGCUGAAAAGCGUAGUCGAUGGGAAACAGGUUAAUAUUCCUGUACUUGGUAAAGCUGCGAUGUGGGGACGGAGUAGGUUAGGUUAUCGCACUGUUGGAUAUGUGCGUUUAAGUUGGUAGGUGGGAAGUUUAGGCAAAUCCGGACUUCCUUAACACAGAGAGAUGAUGACGAGGCUCUACGGAGCUGAAGUAACUGAUACCACACUUCCAGGAAAAGCCACUAAGCGAAAGGCUUUACUAAACCGUACUGAAAACCGACACAGGUGGUCAGGUAGAGAAUACUCAGGCGCUUGAGAGAACUCGGGUGAAGGAACUAGGCAAAAUAGCACCGUAACUUCGGGAGAAGGUGCGCCGGCGUAGAUUGUAAGGGCUAGCCCCUGAAGGUUGAACCGGUCGAAGAUACCAGCUGGCUGCAACUGUUUAUUAAAAACACAGCACUCUGCAAACACGAAAGUGGACGUAUAGGGUGUGAUGCCUGCCCGGUGCUGGAAGGUUAAUUGAUGGUGUAAUCGAAAGAGAAGCACCUGAUCGAAGCCCCAGUAAACGGCGGCCGUAACUAUAACGGUCCUAAGGUAGCGAAAUUCCUUGUCGGGUAAGUUCCGACCUGCACGAAUGGCAUAAUGAUGGCCAGGCUGUCUCCACCCGAGACUCAGUGAAAUUGAAAUCGCCGUGAAGAUGCGGUGUACCCGCGGCUAGACGGAAAGACCCCGUGAACCUUUACUAUAGCUUGACACUGAACAUUGAAUUUUGAUGUGUAGGAUAGGUGGGAGACUUAGAAGUAGGAACGCCAGUUUCUAUGGAGUCAUCCUUGAAAUACCACCCUUUAACGUUUGAUGUUCUAACGAAGAUGACGAAACGUGGUCUCGGACAGUGUCUGGUGGGUAGUUUGACUGGGGCGGUCUCCUCCCAAAGCGUAACGGAGGAGCACGAAGGUUUGCUAAUCACGGUCGGACAUCGUGAGGUUAGUGCAAUGGUAUAAGCAAGCUUAACUGCGAGACAGACAAGUCGAGCAGGUACGAAAGUAGGUCAUAGUGAUCCGGUGGUUCUGAAUGGAAGGGCCAUCGCUCAACGGAUAAAAGGUACUCCGGGGAUAACAGGCUGAUACCGCCCAAGAGUUCAUAUCGACGGCGGUGUUUGGCACCUCGAUGUCGGCUCAUCACAUCCUGGGGCUGAAGUAGGUCCCAAGGGUAUGGCUGUUCGCCAUUUAAAGUGGUACGCGAGCUGGGUUUAGAACGUCGUGAGACAGUUCGGUCCCUAUCUGCCGUGGGCGUAGGAGAAUUGGUUGGGGCUGCUCCUAGUACGAGAGGACCGGAGUGGACGCACCACUGGUGUUCCGGUUGUGUCGCCAGACGCAUUGCCGGGUAGCUAAGUGCGGAAGAGAUAAGUGCUGAAAGCAUCUAAGCACGAAACUUGCCAAGAGAUGAGUUCUCCCAAUCUAAGAGAUUGUAAGGGUUGUUGUAGACUACGACGUAGAUAGGUCUGGUGUGUAAGUGUAGUGAUGCAUUGAGCUAACAGAUACUAAUUGCCCGAGAGGCUUAACU